UCGAGAAUUUUUCACAAUGGGCGCAAGCCUGAUGGAGCGACGCCGCGUGGGGGAUGAAUGGCUUCGGCCCGUAAACCCCUGCCAUUUGCGAUCAAACCUUGCUAUUUAAAAGAUGGCGAGCUGAUAGUAGCGAAAGAGGAAGGGACGGCUAACUCUGUGCCAGCAGCCGCGGUAAUACAGAGGUCCCAAGCGUUGUUCGGAUUCACUGGGCGUAAAGGGUGCGUAGGUGGUGGGGUAAGUCGGAUGUGAAAUCUCGGAGCUCAACUCCGAAAUGGCAUUGGAAACUACCCUGCUAGAGGGUCGGAGGGGGGACUGGAAUUCUCGGUGUAGCAGUGAAAUGCGUAGAUAUCGAGAGGAACACCAGUGGCGAAGGCGAGUCCCUGGACGACUCCUGACACUGAGGCACGAAAGCUAGGGGAGCAAACA
RNAcentral lists this ribosomal RNA (426 nucleotides) under uncultured bacterium. RNAcentral describes it as "bacterial SSU rRNA". It matches the Rfam family "Bacterial small subunit ribosomal RNA", at positions 355 to 774 of the family's 1533-position model. The record is from RNAcentral.